UGGUUGACGGGGCCACACCUCAGCGUGAUACUGUGAGCUACACUGGCGUAUCUAAAACCCAUCAUAUUGUCAGGUGAAAAAUUUCCUACAAAGCAAAAACUCUGGGCCGAAUCGCGUCCAUAAGUUGAUUCUCUUCGUUGACGUGCACGUAUAUUAGGACCCCUCGGGGAGCAGGAGGUCACCCCAGCGCUGCUGUACAUUCCGGCCCGUCAUGGUGGCUGCUAUUUACAUUGGACUGUACCUUAAGCAAAUUCAUCUCAAUUAAGGGCUCUGGAGACCGACCCCCCGAAAACCUGAUAGGAUUCAGACAGUCCCCGGGAGCAAAGAAAAGAAGAAAAGAACAACUCAACUUCAGCAGCUGAUAAGUACUGGUAGGAUUAAGAUUUUUUUUUUUUUAUAGAAGUAAUUUACAAAUCUGUUUCAGACAGGAUUCAGACAGUCCACAGACAGUUUAGCAACAGCUGGAGGGUAACAGUUCGUGACCACUGCUUUACGGGAUAUAUACCAUAUAUACAGUAAAUAUGUCAGCAACCAUAUAUAUAGUUUGCAUAUGGUUACCCGUGCAGGAUUCAGACAGUCCCCGGGAGCAAAGAAAAGAACAACUCAACUUCAGCUGCUGAUAGGAACUGGUAGGAUAUAGAUUAUUAUUUUUUUUUUAUAGAAGUAAUUUACAAAUCUGUUUCAGACAGGAUUCAGACAGUCCCCGGGAGCAAAGAAAAGAAGAAAAGAACAACUCAACUUCAGCAGCUGAUAAGUACUGGUAGGGUUAAGAUUUUUUUUUUUUUUUUAUAGAAGUAAUUUACAAAUCUGUUUUAGACAGGAUUCAAACAGUCCCUGGGAGCAAAGAAAAGAAGAAAAGAACAACUCAACUUCAGCAGCUAUUAAGUACUGGUAGGAUUAAGAUAUUUUUUUUUUAUAGAAGUAAUUUACAAAUCUGUUUCAGACAGGAUUCAGACAGUCCCCAGACAGUUUAGCAACAGCUGGAGGGCAAUAGUUUGGGACCACUGCUUUACGGGAUAUAUACCGUACAUACAGUAAAUAUGUCAGCAACCAUAUAUAUAGUGUGCAUAUGGUUACCCGUGCAGGAUUCAGACAAUCCCAGGGAGCGAAGAAAAGAACAACUCAACUUCAGCUGCUGAUAGGUACUGGUAGUAUUAAGUUUUUUUUUUUUAUGGAAGUAAUUUACAAAUCUGUUCUAGACAGGAUUCAAACAGUCCCUGGGAGCAAAGAAAAGAAGAAAAGAACAACUCAACUUCAGCAGCUGAUAAGUACUGGUAGGAUUAAGAUUUUUUUUUUUUUUUUUUUUUAUAGAAGUAAUUUACAAAUCUGAUUCAGACAGGAUUCAGACAGUCCACAGACAGUUUAGCAACAGCUGGAGGGCAACAGUUUGGGACCACUGCUUUACGGGAUAUAUAUCGUACAUACAGUAAAUAUGUCAGCAACCAUAUAUAUAGUGAGCAUAUGGUUACCCGUGCAGGAAUCAGACAGUCCUUGGUAGCGAAGAAAAGAACAACUCAACUUCAGCUGCUGAUAAGUACUGGUAGGAUUAAGAUUUUUUUUUUUAUAGACGUAAUUUGCAAAUCAGUUUCAGACAGGAUUCAGACAGUCCCCGGGAGCAGAGGGGUUAAGAGAAGUCGGCAUCCAUUCCUGUGUAAUCAUAUCUCUCAUUAAAACUAUGUGCCCCCCCCUCCGCUCGUCCUCUACAUGCUCAUUUAUCAACUCUCAAGCAAAAACACUACCCCUAUUCUGCUCAGGAAUGUGUUUUCAGAAACUCUAUCCCACUCUCCAAGCCUGGGCCAAGUCCCAAAACUCUCAAGGAUUAAUGACAGGGGGCUCUUAGACCCUCAUCCCCCCCACCCGUAUGCACUUCCAUCUCGAGGGGAUCUAGUUCUUGGUAUGUUCACCUGCAUACUGCAUUGUUACUGAUCCUGAGCUCUGGGGAAGGGGCGCACAGCUGCAACCCAUGAAAUUGUCAAAAUUCAAUCACCUUUGUCUAACCCCUUCCCUGCCGGAGGGGAAAAGCCACAGACUGAUCCGCAUUCCGAGGAAGUUCUGACGUCAAAACAGUCUUCACGCCGUCUCCAGACCCCCUGCGCCCCAAAUAUGUUCCCUACAUCUCCACGAGGAGUCAAUAAUGGACGAAUAUUAAAAAAGGCUGAAAAUAAAAAAUACUCAUGUAAACCAGGUCUGGACCUAUAUCUUAUAGG
Molecule: long non-coding RNA, 2207 nt
Organism: Hyla sarda
Lineage: Eukaryota; Metazoa; Chordata; Amphibia; Anura; Hylidae
Exons: 3
Source: RefSeq, a predicted model, not a curated record